Molecule: small nucleolar RNA, 141 nt
Organism: Psammomys obesus (fat sand rat)
Lineage: Eukaryota; Metazoa; Chordata; Mammalia; Rodentia; Muridae
Product: small nucleolar RNA SNORA48
Exons: 1
Source: RefSeq, a predicted model, not a curated record
UCUCUCUGGCAAUGGGCAAAGAGACAUAUUUGGUGAUGUUGUUCUUUUAUCAGUCAGGGGCAGAGCUGAUGGUAUUCCUUUCUUCAUCCUAGCUUGAUGCCUGGCUUGGUGGCCACAGCUGUUUUAUUUCCCAAGACACAA